Molecule: long non-coding RNA, 11228 nt
Filed under: Cricetulus griseus (Chinese hamster)
Lineage: Eukaryota; Metazoa; Chordata; Mammalia; Rodentia; Cricetidae
Description: lncRNA (ENSCGRG00015035848.1)
Source: RNAcentral
CAGGAAGGGUCCUUUUCCCUCUGCUCUUCCUCCCUCGGAGCAAUGUGAUCCACUGGCAAGGAAGGACGGCAAUAAGGCAUCUGAUAAGAGCCUCGUGAUUUCUACCCCACUUAACUUCAAAGGCAGGAGGGGUGGCCUGGUGUGCUGAGGUCCCACAACAGCAGCUUUUGCUUUGCUCUCUCUGUCUAGGCUGGGAGUUCUUCCCUGGCGAGAAACUGCUGGGGCCUCUUUGUGACAGAGCUAGGCGAAGCCUGGGACAGGUUUGUUUUCACAGCUGUCCUGAGAUCCAACCCCAGAGCUGUCCGCCCUACUCCUCACACACUCAGCUUGCUGGCAAAGUGAAAGACAGUGUAGAGUGUAAAUCUUGCUCUCCUACGUGUGUUCUGAGCUCCUGUGCCUCCCAGUCUCACCCAGGGGCCUCAGAAGUUGGUUUGCAGUGGGAAAGGUGACCACUUAGCAUAAUAGCCAGGCCUCCUGCCCCCUGGGGUGAGGGGCAAAUCAGCUCUGGUGUGUGCAGGUGUGCCUUGCUUUCUACAAUGAGGGCAUUGUCAGAACCUUAGACAGAUGGGACCACACACUGAUCAGGGCCAUCACCUCAUGUCAUGGGAGAGCAAACUGCUUGUCUCAUAAGUUCAGUGACAUAGAUGGGUUCCAAAGACUCCUCCUGCUGUGACGGCAUGUGAUUUUCGAAGAUGUAGAGACUUGAGAUUUUUGAAAUGCCCGGUGGGAACAGAGUUCUUCCUGUACCCCAGACAGUGCAAAGCACUUGUCUUUCUUUGGUCUUUAGAAUAGCCUUCGGAGUUGGGCAUUCUUUCCCUCAAUUCACUGAGAGAGGAAACAAAGUUACCAAAGCAACCACAGCUAGUAAGAAGCCGUCCAGGCAUUCUGGAGUUCCGAACUCCUCUCUGUGCGUGUGACCCCACUGGAGGCUGAGCUUUGGUCAUGUUCUAGGACCAAAAGGAAGCUGAUGAUGGGUGGCACUGGGCUCAUACUCCCUAUGAGAGUGUGAGGGAGCAGCCACUAGCAAUCUGGUUUGUGCACUGCUGCACUCUAGGGGGAUCUGGAGUCCACAGGGGCUAUGGGUUAGCAUGGCCUAGGUCACUGGUUAGCAUGGCCUAGAUCACUGGUUAGCAGUGGUAGCUUAGCAUGGCCUAGGUCACUGGUUAGCGGUGGUGGGUUAGCAUGGCCUAGGUCACUGGUUAGUGGCGGUGAGAGCUGAUGUGCUGCAUAGCAGAGCACUUUCUGAAAGCACAGCCAGCUUCUCACAGGAGAGGAGGUGAAGGGUUUCAGGUCAAAGAAUGCACACUGUUCCCAGAUCUUCCCUUGAGGGAACUUGGGCAACAUUUUGUCUUUAUUUCUCUGAAGCAGUCUUGCUGUAUCUGCUACUUAUUUUGUGAAUGUAGGCCAAAGGGUGCUUCCCCCUCCACUGUUUUUCUGACAAGCCUGCAGGCAGGCAAAGACUGGUUGCCCCUGGUGUUUGUCCACAUAUUUUUUUCUUUCUCUCUCCCUCUCUCCUACUUUCCUUCUUUUUCUCUGUUUCCCCCUCUCUCCUGGGACUCUGUACGGUGAAAGGACUGCAGUCAACACUUGUACUAACACCUCACAUAUGUCCCAGUCAUCUGGGAUAAGUGUCCUGAGUUCAGAUCCUUCAGGAAACAGGGGGGCAUGGAAGAAUACAGGAACCCAUUGGGCAAACACUGAACUGUAUUACUCCUCUCUAGAGGAUUUUUCUUUUUGAAACAGAGUUUCAUAAAGCCCGGAUCAGCCUCAAGCUCACUGUGUAGGUGGGGAUGACUUUGAACUCCUGAGCCUUCUGCCUGCAACCUCUAAGUGAUAGGAUGACAGAAAUGCACCAUCAUGUCUUGGUGUUGCAAAUUUUGGACAGUAGCCAUAGGCUUGAUGUCAAUGGAUAUUUUGGAUGGAUGUGUGAAAUCUCUUUGUUCUAUGAAUUGCCAAGCUAUAUUAGCCAAAUUUCCAUUUCUUUAACAAAAUACACAAUGCUGUUUUUGAUAAAGGAAAAGUUUUAUUUUUCUUGCAGUUCCCUAGGCUCAAGGACAUGCUGCCCUUUGCUCAGCUGUCAUGAAGGUCUGUAGGUGACAUGUCACAUCAGGGUGUGGAAGUUGGGAUUGUGUGGCGAGACAGGAAGCAGGGAAGUAGGGAGAGUCAGGCUCCCUCUUACAGCAAUGGGCUGUUCUGAGAACUUCUCAGGGUCCCAGGAGAGCCAUCUCCAUCCCUACUAACACAGGUGUACCUAAUAGCCCAUUAGAUUCCUAGUAGAGCACCUCUCUUAAAGGUCACACAACCUCUUAGCACUUACGAAUAGCACGCAAUCUCUUAGCACCUCUGGGGGAAUAAAUCAUACCCAACCCAUAGCAGCAACUAUUUAAGCAAAGUCCUCUUAAAGACUGAGUUUGAAAUUCUAUGCAUGUGUAUGUAUCUCUCUCUCUCUCUCUCUCUGUGUGUGUGUGUGUGUGUGUGCAGCACCAUAAGUGACCAGAAGAGGGCGAUGGUUUUCCUGCAUCUGAUUUUACAGAACAUGGCUUGCAGCCAUGUGGGAGCUGGGAAUUGACCUCAGGUCCUCUGCAAGAGUGGUAAGUGCAGAGUCAGCUCUCCAAUCUCCAAGCAAAAUCUUAAAAUGCUGUGUAACGUGCAUUCAAUACAACAAUUGGCUAGAAUCAUUCCCAGCUUUCCUUUUUUAGGGUUAGAACAUGUUAUGCCGGAAUAUUUAUGAACUUUGCUGUGUGUAUGUAUGUAGGUAUGUUGCCCUUGCUUUGGAAAUGAUUAGUGCUCCUGUGUUUGCUGAGAAGAGCUGUGUGGGACUUCAGUGUGGACUGAUAAGAUCAGGUUUCGGUGUUACUUUUUAAUAGUCAUGUAGCCUUGCUCUCACGAGUCUAUAAAAAACAGCUGUGUAGCCCUCUCUGCUCACGAGUCUCUUGGUUUGAUUUAAGAAUUUUCAUCUAUGAGAUGAAGCUGUUGGUGAGUGAAUCCUUAGGACUUCUACUUCCAAAAUUCCAUGCCCAUGGCUCGAGUUUAGUUCUAUCUUGUUUGUAUUUAACAUACCCAGACUUAGAUACUUACAAUUGCAGGCUUAUGCUGCACUGUGGAAACAUAAUUGGUUGUAAAUUAAAAAGAAGUCCCUGGAGGCUGCUUUUUUUCCAAUAGAUUUCCUAGAAGGAGAGGCUAAAUAAGGGUCACCCUAAAAUUAAAUGAGGCUAUGAUUUCUCAAUGGCAAAUACCACUGGGAAUUCCAUCUGAAAUCUGGGGGGAAUGGAUGGGAGGAUGGAAUCCAUGCUAACAAAGCGUGACAAGAAUGGCAAUGGUUCGGGGGAGACUGAACCCUUAGCCAUCGACUGCUGGGAAUGCAAAGUGGUGCAGUCACUUUAAAAAACUUGGUCAGUCCUUCAGAGUAUCAAGCACAAAGCAUUACAGCACAACCCAGCAAUUCUGUCCCUAGUGAGAGAUGUGUUUUUAGAAUGUGUUAUGCCCAAGGGUUUAUAUCAGCAUUGGUCACAGUGCCCCCAAAGUAGGAAGUCUCUAAGGUGUUUGAAUAGAUAAACUGUGGCUCAGUGUGGUGGUGGUGCACAUCUGUAAUCCCAACACACGAGAGGCUGUGGCAGGAUGGUGAAUUUGAGGUCAGCCUGAGGUAUACAGUGUGUGUGUGAGACUAGCCUCAGCUACACAGCAAGAUCCUGUUUCCAGAAAUACAAUAAAAUGAGGACUGCUGAGAUGGCUCAGUGGGCAAAAGCACUUGCUGCACACGUCUGAAGACGUGAUGUCAAUACCGGGACCCACUGCGGGAGAAAGCUGACUCCAAAAGCUGUCUUCCGGCAUCCUCGUGUGUGUUCUAGCAUGUAGAUGCCACUGUAUGAACACCGCACACACAACAAAAACAAUACAUACAAUAAAAUGAAACAAACCCCACAAAAGAGUGGCAUUCUUAUUGAAUAGAUUGUUCUUCCAUAAGGGAGUUCUGGACCAUGCUGCACUGUGGAUUAAUCCUGAAGACAUUGCGCUAAGUGAAAGAAGCUGGCCGGAACAGCACACGAUGGGGUUCUGUGGUCAGGGUAACAUAACAGCAAAGAAAAACAGGAUGGGUGACGCUCAAGGCUGGGGAGGGUGAAGGAAAUGAGUUACGUUGAAGGGAAUGACAUUUCUUUUCAUGGGGAUAAGCAUGUCCAGAAUGGUCUGUGUGGAUGUGUGUGCAGCUCUGCACACACACAGACCCCCACUGAAGCGUGGUCUUUUAGCGGCUGCACCGUAAGGUGUUUAACUAUGUCCCAACGAAGCUGUUUAAAAGAUAUACGAGGAUGAAAAAGAAAAUUUAAGAGAAGCAAGAGGUAAAUAGAAAGACGAAGGCUAGUGAGAAACAGGAAUAGGAGUGUUACCCACAAGGAACCUGGGCCCAUGGCUCAGGGAUGAGAAUACUUCCAGUUUAAAUCCCCAGCACCCACAUAAGGAGCCUGGCCGCCUGGCCGCCUGUAACCCAACACUGUGGGGAGUAGAGACAGAUGGCCCACCUGCCGACCGUGGGUUUGCAGCUGUCAGUUUAGCUCUAGGCUCAGGGAGACUCUGUCUCGAAGGAAUAAAGGUAGAGAGUGAUGGAACACGACACUCAGCAUCCUCCUCCUCUGGCUUCCAGGUGUGGGUGUACCCGUCAUGGCGCUUACCCCUAGGUGUUCACAUACCACACACACUCACGACUGUUUCAGUAGCAUAUAGAUUUAGAGGUACCCAGUUUAUUUCAAGAGCGGCCUUUAAUGAGGCAAAUUGUGACCAGGGCAAGUGAUGGUUAAUAAUGAGAAAUGGUGAUUUUCAUUCUUGGACGUGGGCCUAAGCACUAAGCUGUUUUAUUUUUUUCUGGGUAUUUUAAUGCAGUGUUUUGAAGCUCAAGCAGCCUGUUGGUCUGUUUUUCGGCUCCAUUUGUUUGUUGGCUGGUUUGAGUUACUGAUGAGGGUGCAUAUGGUGAGGGACACUCAUGACAUCAGUACUAGCAGAACUGCCAAAAUCCUGCCAAGUCCCGAUGACUUGCCCCAGGACUUGAAAAACCAAAAUUGCAAAAUAGCAAGAGUGGAGGACUUGCUAGUUGGCGUAAAGUUGGGAGGAAGUUUGUUCAAGUGCCAAAGGUGACAGCGUUCUGACAAGAAGCUGUUUAACUCGAUUGCAAAGACAACUUCGGUGGGGUUGAGCCCCAGGCCAUGUUUGUUAGGUUCUCUGGGAAGAGGGCUCAUGAGAGUCAGAGGUUGGGCAGGGAGAGAAUGGCAGCCCAUACUGGAUGGAGGGCUGCCUGCCUCAUCUUUGUGGGGAGGGGCUGUUCCCUGGGUCCUGACUGUUACUGAACAGAAGGAAGGGCAGUGUCUGCAAAGCAACCUGGGUUAUCAGAGGAAACUGAUCAUAAAGAUAUUUACAUAUUGAAAUAUUUUGCUGUUUUGUUUGUUUUUUAAGAUAGGGUCUCUCUGUGUAGCCCUGACUGUUCUGGAAGUCUCUUUGUAGACCCGGCUGGCCUUGAACUCACAGAGACCUACCUACCUUUGCCUCCCCGAGUGCUGAGGCUAAAGGCAUGCGCCACUACCACCCUGCAAAAUCUUCCCUUUAAAGUGUUGCCAUUUAUUCAGAAUUUAAAGAUUUAUUUAUUACUUUUAUUUUACGUGUAUGUGCGUAUGUGCUCGCUGUGCAUGCAGGUGUCUGUGGAGGCCAGAAUGGGACGUUCGAGCCCCUGGAACUGGAGUCACAGGUAGUUGUGAGCCCCCUCAGGUGGGUGUUAGGAACCAAACCCAGGUUUUGUGCAAGAGCAGCCAGUGCUCUUAACCACCGAGUCAUCUCCAGCUCCUCUAACCAGAAUUUGAAAUGCAACGACCUACAGCAAUUUAGGGAGCAAAUCAUUUUCGGAUCAUACUUGAUAAGAGAUUUGCAUCUGGACUAUAUAAAGAAUGCUUCUGGUUCAACAAUACUGAGAACACAAUGUAAGACAGCCGGAAUUUAAAAUUGGAGAAAGGGUCCGAAAAGACACAUCAUCCUGCGGAGACACAAAUGUAACAAGCACACUGGGAAAAAAAAAUGCUAAAUGACAUUAGUGUCGGGAAAAUAGAAUGAAAACCACAGUGAGAUACUACUUCAGAGCCACUAGCCUGGCCAGAAAAGAAAGGCCAUGGUGAGUGUGGUGAGGAUAGUGACCGGAGCCCUCCUGGGGAUGCUGGAAAUGUUCAUCCUUGCAAACAGAAUAGCAGUUCCUCAAAAGGUUGAGUGGGAUGAAUGGUCAUGUGACUCACACUUUACCUCCUAGCUGUCUAUUCAAAGCAAUCAAAAUAUAUGUGCAGAUAAAACGCUGCAAAUGAGUUUCAAUACUAACGUUGUUUAUUGUACUAGUUACUUUUGUAUUGGUGUGAUAAAACUGCAUGACCAGGGUAACUUGCAGAAGAGUUUAUUUGGGCUGAGGGUACCAGGGGGAAUGGGGUCCAUCAAGGCAGGGAAGUAGCAGGCCUGGUGGCUGGAGAAGCAAGCUGAGAGCUCACCUCUUAAACUGCAAGCGGGAAGCAGAGGGAAGGCACAGGGAACGGUGUGAGGCUUUGAAACCCUAAAGCCUGACCCCAGUGACCUAUUUCCUCUAUGGAGGACACACCUCCCACACCUAUCAAAACAGCUCCACCAGCUGGAUACUUAAUCAUUCAAGCAUCUGAGCUUUGGGGAACAUGCUUAUUCAAACCCCUAUAUUUAUGCACCCCCAAAGUGGGAGCAUCACAGAUGUCCCUUCACUGGUGAAGAUAAUCCCCUAUGGUUGAGAUAUUAUCUAGUGAAUUUAGAAGUUAAAAAGGAAUUAAGUACUGGUACAUGCUACAACAUGGAUAAACUUUGAAAUGCCACUUCAGGGUGUUCCCUGUCACCUCAAAGUCCAGCUCCAGGGGAUCUGAUGCCCUCUUCUGGCUUUCAAGGGCACUUGCACUCACAUAUGCACACCCCACACAGACACUCACAAUACAAGUAAAAAAAAAAAAAAAAAACAAAGCCAGGCCUGGUGGCACACACUUUUAAUCCCAGCACUUGGGAGAUAGAGGCAGGUAGAUCUUUGAGUUUGAGGCCAGCCUGGUCUACAGAGUGAGUUUCAAGACAGAACUACACAGAGAGACCCUGUUUUGAAAAAUUAAACAACAAACAAACAAAACCCCAAAAUGAAACAACAAAAACCCAAACAACAACCACCAAACCCCCAAAAAACAAGGUAAAGCAAAACAAAACCCCAAAAUCUUAAAGAUGAAAUAGUAAAUGAAAAGGGCUAGUCAAAAACUCUCAUGAUAUCCUAUAUCAUUUAUAUACAGUCCCUAGAUAAGAAAUAUACCCAGACAGAUUAGUGGUUUUCUAGGGUAUGGAAGAUGAGGGUAGAGGGUGGAAAGUGAAUUUAAAGAGUAUGGAUUUCUUUCUAAGAUGAAGAAAAUUGCCUGAAAUUGAUUGUGGUGAUGGCUGUGACUAUCCCAAACCCACUGAGCUGCGCACUGUAAACAGGCUAACUGUGUGGUAUGUGACUAUUUCCCCAAUAAAACUGUUACAAAAGAAUCCAGUGAACCACACAGAGCCUCUCUCCAAACUUUAGAUUCUCUUCACAGGUCUUGACAGCCGCACGGAAGGUCUGGGAGGGGGUCAAGGAGUAGACUCCUUGGGGAGUCUGGGAAGGAAGGGUUGUGCCUGCUUUCUAGCUAGCCCUCCUGUUAGUGGCAGAACCAGGACUGGAGAUGUCUCCUGACCUCCUCCUCUUGCUACAUUAACUCCAUCCACAGCCUGUGUUUAAGUGUAACCAGGAAGGGGCUGAGAAGCCACCAUCACCAACAGCUUGGACAUGCUCUCUUCCCUCCUGCUUGGCAAAGGCCUCCCUCUCUCCACUGGAAGGCUUCUUGAGAAGAUAAAGUACUGUAAAGAAGACCCCUUAAGGGAGAGACAGGCCACACAGUGCCCCUGGCCUUCCCCCCAGCAGCCUGGGAGGGUCUGUGUGCUCAGGAAAGCCCUGACUCUGUGUGUUUGUGAUUCAAUAACACUUAGCUCACCAAAAUGCUGUUUUCGCAAUAGUCAUUUGAUGUCCAAGAAACCCUGUGGGCCUCACAAGGUUUAAAAAAAAAAUUUUUUAUACUUGAACCAGAGAACUGAACUUUGCCAAGAGCAAAUGGAACUCAGAUAUCAAAAAGGUCUGAGUUCAGUUUUCACUGAAGACAAAGGGUGAGUGGGCUGUGAACCGAGCCAAAUGCGGCCCCUCCCACCCUCCAUUUACAGUACAUCGUUUUGGCAGACUCUCCCAUCCUGAACGUUGGCUUUCUUCUCCCAUUCCUCUCUAGGGUGUAACCAUAAGCUUAUCUUCCAGUUAAGUUUACGGAAAAAAAAAAGCAUAUUGUAUCAAUUUGUGAAGACCUCACCCAUCAUGGCUCCUAUAACUAUCAGUUUCAUCAGAGCACAUAGAAACGUGUGGAAAGGAAUAAAAAGCUUCCCAGAAGCGGUGUUUUCAUUUGGUCUACUGCAAGGAUGUCAUUUUCAAAGCCCCUUCAUGUGGGAGUUUAUUGAAGGAAUUUUGCCAUUGCCCCCAUCAAUACAUAGUCAGGAUAUUAACCUGUUAUCAACUCCAUUCCUGAAGAGUCACUAUUUAUCGGAAUGCCAAGGUUUGGAAGAUGCACGCUUCUCCCACUUUGUCUCCCAAAGAGAAAGACACAAUGGGGGUACUUACAUUUUCUUUCUUUCUUUCUUUCUUUCUUUCUUUCUUUCUUUCUUUCUUUUUCUUUCUUUCUUUCUUUCUUUUUUUCUUUCUUUCUUUUCUUUCUUCCUUCCUUCCUUCCUCCCUUCUUCCUUCCCUCCCUCACUCACUCCUUCCUUUCUUUCUCAGCAGCAAUGGAGACUGAACUCAGGGCUUUGUGCGUGUAGGACAAACACUUUACCAAAUGAGCUAAAUUCACAGUCUAUGUACAUGGGAGCAUGUGCCUCUGUGUGUGUGUGUGUGUGUGUGUGUGUGUGUGUGUGUGUAGGUCAGAGAACAACUAAGAAGGGUUCAACUUUUCUUUCCAACAGUUGGGCCCACAGAUCAAACUCAGGCUGUCUGGCUUUGAGGCAGAUUUCUUUACUCUAUGAACUAUCUCUCUAGCCAGAUAUAGGCAAAUAAAUAAAUAAAUAAAAAUAAAAUAGAAUAAAGAAACGAUUAACAAAACAACAAAGAAGAAAACAGGGAAAAGAAAAAUGGUUUCAGUUUCUGCCAGCCCAAGAUAAGCUCCAAGACACUAUAGAUUAUUUUGCUUUGAUUCUGAAGAAGCAUUUACACUAUAACAGUUUGUAUCUAAGUCUACAGUUAUGUAUUGUAAAAAAUGGGAUGUUAAUUUGUUUUAUAACCUCUUUCCAUUGUGUUAGUCCACAAUUAUUAAUAAAGCUUUAACUACUCCUACAUAAAAUCUGACUGUGCAAGUGAUUAUUUAAAUAAUUCAGUAUGGAGUCUUUUAAUCAGAAGUGACAGAAAACCCAUGUCAAAAUGACUUAAGAACAAAAGGGAAUGUUUUUGGCUGACAUCUGAAAGGUGUAAUGUGAGAUGUGGUCCAAGGCCCAGCAAGACUCAGGGCUCAGGUGCUGUUAGGCGGUCUGUUUCCUCUCUUCUGUCCUUGUUUCCUUCUGCUGCCUGUGUACCCUUGCAAGAUCACGGCAGAACCAUCGGCUCAGGAGUACAUUCUCUGCUGCUGCCUGGCAGAGGAGAGCGAGCAUGCAAACCUUACUGUGUUUCACCGGUCCCCUAGCAAACUCUGCACCUGUCAUUGCUGGUUUUUGCCUGGGUCACACAGUACUCCCUGAGAUUCAAAUAUCUCACUUGGACCACACAGACUGAAAACAAAAGAGGGAGGGCAGGAGUGACACUUGGGCUGUUGGGGACCAAAAAUUAUCGAUUAUAAAGUUGCUCGGAGUCCAAACCUCCGCUCCAUUUUCCAGGACCCUGAUUCUCCCAUUGUCUUUCAGAUGUUGGCUAAAUUGCCACGGGGUGGCUUGGCCUCAGUGGAGAGUGUCUCCUAGUUUGCGUAACUACAGACCUAGGCCCUAUCCUAUUCAAAGAACUUGCUUAUGUGCCUAGAGACUGUUUAGGUGCCUCUUGAAUUAAAAGAAUUACUUGAUAUCAGCUUUAUACGUGACAGUAGAUGCCUUCUGCGGUCACCCCCACUGAUGGAAAGCUAUUUAAGAGGAUGCUAGAAUAAACCGGAGACUGCAGUUUCCAGCAUGGACUGAGAGCCCUCCUGAAAUGACAAGAUGUCUGUCUGGUCUUUAUCCCUGUUGGGUAGCUAGGAGUUUCCCAAUCCAGCACUCCCUGACACAUAGAUGGCCCUGGGGCUAUUUGACUGGCUCUGAUCUCAGCCCCAGAGACUUCAGUCCGGAAUAGAUAGCCUCUGUAGCAUGGGACUGAUACAAGCCGGGCCCGACAUUGGACUCCAUGGUUAUCAGAGUGAAUGGUGGGUGGCCCAAACAACACUUGCAUUUGUAGAACUUGCUUUAUGUUAGUUUUCUAAGAACUUUUAUAACAGACUGACAUAAACUUCCAGCUCAAAACCCAGAAACUUACUGUCAUAAAGUUUUGGAAUCUGGACAUGUAAGAUCAAGGUAUCUAUGGGGAUCAUGUAAUUUUUUCCUCCAGGGGGAAUCUGGUCAUGCUUCUCUCUUGGCUUUGUGUGGCUCCUGGCAAUCUUUGUGCUUGGCUUGUAGAGUAUCACUCUGCUCUCCUCCUUCAUGUUCAGAUGGCAUCCUCCCUGCAGGCACUGAGAGUCCAGAUUGCUUUUAUAAUUAGUCAUAUUAGAGUAGGAACCUGUCUGUUUUGAAAGGAUUAUUACAGGCCCAAAUAAGAUCAGAGGAACUGAGAAUAGUCUAUGAUUUUGGGGGUGGGGUGGGAGUAGGCACAAUUCAAUUUACAAUGUUCUCAUGAACUUAUUGUUUCUAAGACCCAUCUGAUUUGUGCUCAGAUGCUACAACCGUUUGCUUCCCUCUUUCCACUAAGUAGGUUAGCAGUUUGGAUGAGGCUACUUCAAGGACCCCUUACCUAGAACCUGUUGUUUGUGUGUGUGAGCUAAGAACAUCUUAAUGCCAGAAUGUUCACUGUAAUUUUCAUCAUGUAUGAGCUCAAGGACUUUGGGCAAUGCACUCGACCUCCGAUAACCUCAGUCUUUGAAAACAGUAUAACGAAGCUGGGCGUUGGUGGCACACCCCUUUAAUCCCAGAACUCGGGAGGCAGAGGCAGG